CCUACGGGAGGCAGCAGUGGGGAAUAUUGGGCAAUGGGCGAAAGCCUGACCCAGCAACGCCGCGUGAAGGAAGAAGGUCUUCGGAUUGUAAACUUCUUUAUGAGGGACGAAGGACGUG
This 118-nucleotide ribosomal RNA is filed under the name uncultured bacterium. RNAcentral describes it as "partial 16S ribosomal RNA". It matches the Rfam family "Bacterial small subunit ribosomal RNA", at positions 338 to 456 of the family's 1533-position model. The record is from RNAcentral.